Molecule: ribosomal RNA, 433 nt
Filed under: uncultured Lachnospiraceae bacterium
Lineage: Bacteria; Bacillati; Bacillota; Clostridia; Lachnospirales; Lachnospiraceae
Description: bacterial SSU rRNA
Rfam family: Bacterial small subunit ribosomal RNA
Source: RNAcentral
ACGGAAGGCAGCAGUGGGGAAUAUUGCACAAUGGGGAAACCCUGAUGCAGCGACGCCGCGUGAGCGAAGAAGUAUUUCGGUAUGUAAAGCUCUAUCAGCAGGGAAGAAAAUGACGGUACCUGACUAAGAAGCCCCGGCUAACUACGUGCCAGCAGCCGCGGUAAUACGUAGGGGGCAAGCGUUAUCCGGAUUUACUGGGUGUAAAGGGAGCGUAGACGGCAAGGUAAGUCUGAAGUGAAAUGCCGGGGCUCAACCCCGGAACUGCUUUGGAAACUAUCUCGCUCGAGUACCGGAGGGGUAAGCGGAAUUCCUAGUGUAGCGGUGAAAUGCGUAGAUAUUAGGAGGAACACCAGUGGCGAAGGCGGCUUACUGGACGGUAACUGACGUUGAGGCUCGAAAGCGUGGGGAGCAAACAGGAUUAGAUACCCUGGUA